This 253-nucleotide ribosomal RNA is filed under the name uncultured bacterium. RNAcentral describes it as "partial 16S ribosomal RNA". It matches the Rfam family "Bacterial small subunit ribosomal RNA", at positions 524 to 776 of the family's 1533-position model. The record is from RNAcentral.
GACGUAGGGGGCGAGCGUUGUCCGGAUUCAUUGGGCGUAAAGCGCGCGCAGGCGGCCGAGCAAGUCGGAUGUGAAAACCCGGGGCUCAACCCCGGGCCGUCAUUCGAAACUGCUCGGCUAGAGGCAGGUAGGGGAGAUCGGAAUUCCUGGUGUAGCGGUGAAAUGCGCAGAUAUCAGGAGGAACACCGGUGGCGAAGGCGGAUCUCUGGGCCUGUCCUGACGCUCAGGCGCGAAAGCUAGGGGAGCAAACAGG